RNAcentral lists this ribosomal RNA (493 nucleotides) under uncultured bacterium. RNAcentral describes it as "bacterial SSU rRNA". It matches the Rfam family "Bacterial small subunit ribosomal RNA", at positions 29 to 508 of the family's 1533-position model. The record is from RNAcentral.
AGUGAACGCUGGCGGUAGGCCUAACACAUGCAAGUCGAACGGCAGCACAGUAAGAGCUUGCUCUUAUGGGUGGCGAGUGGCGGACGGGUGAGGAAUACAUCGGAAUCUACCUUUUCGUGGGGGAUAACGUAGGGAAACUUACGCUAAUACCGCAUACGACCUUCGGGUGAAAGCAGGGGACCUUCGGGCCUUGCGCGGAUAGAUGAGUCGAUGUCGGAUUAGCUAGUUGGCGGGGUAAAGGCCCACCAAGGCGACGAUCCGUAGCUGGUCUGAGAGGAUGAUCAGCCACACUGGAACUGAGACACGGUCCAGACUCCUACGGGAGGCAGCAGUGGGGAAUAUUGGACAAUGGGCGCAAGCCUGAUCCAGCCAUACCGCGUGGGUGAAGAAGGCCUUCGGGUUGUAAAGCCCUUUUGUUGGGAAAGAAAAGCAGCCGGCUAAUACCCGGUUGUUCUGACGGUACCCAAAGAAUAAGCACCGGCUAACUUCGUGC